UGGGGAAUAUUGCACAAUGGGCGCAAGCCUGAUGCAGCCAUGCCGCGUGUGUGAAGAAGGCCUUCGGGUUGUAAAGCACUUUCAGCGAGGAGGAAGGGUAGUGUGUUAAUAGCACAUUGCAUUGACGUUACUCGCAGAAGAAGCACCGGCUAACUCCGUGCCAGCAGCCGCGGUAAUACGGAGGGUGCAAGCGUUAAUCGGAAUUACUGGGCGUAAAGCGCACGCAGGCGGUUUGUUAAGUCAGAUGUGAAAUCCCCGCGCUUAACGUGGGAACUGCAUUUGAAACUGGCAAGCUAGAGUCUUGUAGAGGGGGGUAGAAUUCCAGGUGUAGCGGUGAAAUGCGUAGAGAUCUGGAGGAAUACCGGUGGCGAAGGCGGCCCCCUGGACAAAGACUGACGCUCUGGUGCGAAAGCGUGGGGAGCAAACA
Molecule: ribosomal RNA, 427 nt
Filed under: uncultured bacterium
Lineage: Bacteria
Description: partial 16S ribosomal RNA
Rfam family: Bacterial small subunit ribosomal RNA
Source: RNAcentral